GGGGAGUGAAGCCAGAGGGCAGAAGUGCCCUGGAGUGCAGACCCCAGCAGACACUGACCAGGCACAGGAGGAUGAAGUGAGUUUGUUGGGGACAGAGAACAGCCAAGGGGCAGCCGGCAGUCAGCUCAAGUCCUCACAAAGAAGGGCAAUACCACCCGUGGGCCGGGACAGUCGGCUCGAGGGCCAGCAGCCAGGAACGUGGCGAAGAACUUGGAUCUGAGGUGGGCCCAUGGUGUAGCUGUGGUGUGCUAGCAAGAGUGGCCUCCAAACCCACCCUGGAAGGUGAUCCAGAGACCAUAGAGCAGAAAGGCUUCCUUCUCAGAGUGAGCUGCUGGAAGCCCACCAGUGUCAGUGCCAAGAGGAGCUGGGGUGCCAGUAUCUGUGUAUCUUCAGAGGCAGCAGGGGCCAGUGUGCCACAUCUUGCCCCAGUCCUGAAAGGAUAGAUGGUAUUUGGCCUGUGACCCUUGGCUGAGGAGCCAUGGUCCGGCUCUGCCAGGCCCUGCUGCUGUUAGUGGCCACUGUGGCCCUUGCAUCCAGAAGAUUCCAAGCCUGGGGCUCAACAAAGGUGGUGAGGACAUUCCAAGAUAUCCCUCAAAACUACGUCUAUGUGCAGCAGGCACUCUGGUUCGCCAUGAAGGAGUAUAACAAGGCCAGCUUUAGUAUAACAAGUUCAGCUUUAGGGUGCUGAAGGUUCUGAAGAGCCAGGAGCAGGUGG
RNAcentral lists this long non-coding RNA (715 nucleotides) under Homo sapiens (human). RNAcentral describes it as "non-protein coding lnc-CST8-2:6". The record is from RNAcentral. Lineage: Eukaryota; Metazoa; Chordata; Mammalia; Primates; Hominidae.